CACACCGCCCGUCACACCCGGAAAAUUGAUUGCACCAGAAGUCGUUGAGCUAACCGCUAUUUAUAGUGGGGGCAGGCGCCUACGGUGUGGUUAGUAAUCGGGGUG
This 105-nucleotide ribosomal RNA is filed under the name uncultured bacterium. Its description in RNAcentral is "partial 16S ribosomal RNA". The record is from RNAcentral.